GAUGAACGCUGGCGGCGUGCCUAAUACAUGCAAGUCGAGCGAACGGACGAGAAGCUUGCUUCUCUGAUGUUAGCGGCGGACGGGUGAGUAACACGUGGAUAACCUACCUAUAAGACUGGGAUAACUUCGGGAAACCGGAGCUAAUACCGGAUAAUAUUUUGAACCGCAUGGUUCAAAAGUGAAAGACGGUCUUGCUGUCACUUAUAGAUGGAUCCGCGCUGCAUUAGCUAGUUGGUAAGGUAACGGCUUACCAAGGCAACGAUGCAUAGCCGACCUGAGAGGGUGAUCGGCCACACUGGAACUGAGACACGGUCCAGACUCCUACGGGAGGCAGCAGUAGGGAAUCUUCCGCAAUGGGCGAAAGCCUGACGGAGCAACGCCGCGUGAGUGAUGAAGGUCUUCGGAUCGUAAAACUCUGUUAUAGGGAAGAACAUAUGUGUAAGUAACUGUGCACAUCUUGACGGUACCUAAUCAGAAAGCCACGGCUAACUACGUG
Molecule: ribosomal RNA, 496 nt
Filed under: uncultured bacterium
Lineage: Bacteria
Description: partial 16S ribosomal RNA
Rfam family: Bacterial small subunit ribosomal RNA
Source: RNAcentral